UCCCGCUUAGCUCAGUGGUAGAGCGCGUCACUAGUAUACUGCGCUAUGACGAGGUCAGUCGUUCAAGUCGGCUAGUGGGAA
Non-coding RNA from Vararia minispora EC-137, 81 nucleotides. The record is from the annotation of a GenBank genome assembly. NCBI's taxonomy places the organism in Eukaryota, Fungi, Basidiomycota, Agaricomycetes, Russulales, Lachnocladiaceae.